This 240-nucleotide ribosomal RNA is filed under the name uncultured bacterium. RNAcentral describes it as "partial 16S ribosomal RNA". It matches the Rfam family "Bacterial small subunit ribosomal RNA", at positions 99 to 339 of the family's 1533-position model. The record is from RNAcentral.
CGCACGGGUGCGUAACGCGUAUAGAACCUACCUUUUACUGAGGGAUAGCCUUUAGAAAUGAAGAUUAAUGCCCCAUAGUAUUGUAGACUGGCAUCAGUUUACAAUUAAAGAUUUAUUGGUAAAAGAUGGCUAUGCGUCCUAUUAGUUAGUUGGUGAGGUAACGGCUCACCAAGACAGCGAUAGGUAGGGGUCCUGAGAGGGAGAUCCCCCACACUGGUACUGAGACACGGACCAGACUCC